This 460-nucleotide ribosomal RNA is filed under the name uncultured bacterium. RNAcentral describes it as "partial 16S ribosomal RNA". It matches the Rfam family "Bacterial small subunit ribosomal RNA", at positions 338 to 795 of the family's 1533-position model. The record is from RNAcentral.
CCUACGGGUGGCAGCAGUGAGGAAUAUUGGUCAAUGGACGAGAGUCUGAACCAGCCAAGUAGCGUGAAGGAUGACUGCCCUAUGGGUUGUAAACUUCUUUUAUAUGGGAAUAAAAUGUUCCACGUGUGGGAUUUUGUAUGUACCAUAUGAAUAAGGAUCGGCUAACUCCGUGCCAGCAGCCGCGGUAAUACGGAGGAUCCGAGCGUUAUCUGGAUUUAUUGGGUUUAAAGGGAGCGUAGGUGGAUUGUUAAGUCAGUUGUGAAAGUUUGCGGCUAAACCGUAAAAUUGCAGUUGAAACUGGCAGUCUUGAGUACAGUAGAGGUGGGCGGAAUUCGUGGUGUAGCGGUGAAAUGCUUAGAUAUCACGAAGAACUCCGAUUGCGAAGGCAGUUCACUGGACUGCAACUGACACUGAGGCUCGAAAGUGUGGGUAUCAAACAGGAUUAGAUACCCUUGUAGUC